CGGGAGGGAAGGCUGUUUAUGGCUAGCUGGCUUUAUGGAGAGCUUAUCGAUGCAGCUGUAGGGAACAGAGCGACUUCUUCUCGAAACAGUGCUGAGAAAAUGGGAAGUGCUGUCAGGAUGUUAGAGAGAGCUGGGGCAUAACCAUGGAGAAGAAAGAGAGAGCUGGGGCAUAACCAUGGAGAAGAAAGAGAGAGCUGGGGCAUAACCAUGGAGAAGAAAGAGAGAGCUGGGGCAUAACCAUGGAGAAGAAAGAGAGAGCUGGGGCAUAACCAUGGAGAAGAAAGAGAGCGCGAUGGAGAUAUUGAAAUAGAGGCUGUCUCCCAGAGCCAUCAGACACUGAGCGAAGCCCUUAUAGAUGGAGUGACACCUCCUGGUGGAGGAGGCAGAGCUGGGACAGGGGCCGACGACUGGACGGAGACACAGAGACAUACAGUAUACCAUCAGCACUCUCUGUAUCCCUGGCUCACA
Salmo salar (Atlantic salmon) is the source of this 468-nucleotide non-coding RNA. NCBI's taxonomy places the organism in Eukaryota, Metazoa, Chordata, Actinopteri, Salmoniformes, Salmonidae. The record is from RefSeq and is a predicted model, not a curated record.